AGAGUUUGAUCAUGGCUCAGAACGUACGCUGGCGGCACGCCUAACACAUGCAAGUCGAACGAAGUAGCAAUACUUAGUGGCAGACGGGUGAGUAACAUGUAGGUAUCUACCCUUUGGCCUGGAAUAACACGAGGAAACUUGUGCUAAUACCGGAUAAGUCUUUACGGAGAAAGCUUUAUGCACCAUUGGAUGAGCCUGCACUUGAUUAGUUUGUUGGUGGGGUAAUGGCCUACCAAGACUGUGAUCAAUAGCUGAUUUGAGAGGAUGAUCAGCCACAUUGGGACUGAGACACGGCCCAAACUCCUACGGGAGGCAGCAGUGGGGAAUCUUGCACAAUGGAGGAAACUCUGAUGCAGCGAUGCCGCGUGAGUGAAGAAGGCCUUUGGGUUGUAAAGCUCUUUCGUCGGGGAAGAAAAUGACUGUACCCGAAUAAGAAGGUCCGGCUAACUUCGUGCCAGCAGCCGCGGUAAUACGAAGGGACCUAGCGUAGUUCGGAAUUACUGGGCUUAAAGAGUUCGUAGGUGGUUGAAAAAGUUAGUGGUGAAAUCCCAGAGCUUAACUCUGGAACUGCCAUUAAAACUUUUCAGCUAGAGUAUGAUAGAGGAAAGCAGAAUUUCUAGUGUAGAGGUGAAAUUCGUAGAUAUUAGAAAGAAUACCAAUUGCGAAGGCAGCUUUCUGGAUCAUUACUGACACUGAGGAACGAAAGCAUGGGUAGCGAAGAGGAUUAGAUACCCUCGUAGUCCAUGCCGUAAACGAUGUGUGUUAGACGU
RNAcentral lists this ribosomal RNA (770 nucleotides) under marine metagenome. RNAcentral's name for it is "bacterial SSU rRNA". It matches the Rfam family "Bacterial small subunit ribosomal RNA", at positions 8 to 823 of the family's 1533-position model. The record is from RNAcentral.